Microtus oregoni (creeping vole) is the source of this 1434-nucleotide long non-coding RNA. RefSeq lists it as uncharacterized. Lineage: Eukaryota; Metazoa; Chordata; Mammalia; Rodentia; Cricetidae. The transcript has 3 exons. The record is from RefSeq and is a predicted model, not a curated record.
UGUGCAGGAAGUUCGCGUGAAUCAGCGUCUAGGUCUCCUUUACGUGAGUCAGCUGCCAGCGAUGGUUCUGGUUAAAGGGAAAACCUCCUGGACCGCUUCGCCCCUGUGAGGAAUCCUGCAGAGGCUGUACCAGCUCGGACCCAGAAGCAGAUUGCGACCCUGGCGAGACCAGAGCAGUUGUAGAGUUUCUUCUUCAUCUCCAGAGCUCUGUCGCUUGACCCAGGAAAACGAAGGCGCUGUUCUAAAUGAUACGUGUUAAAUAGUCCUAAGACCAGCUGUUUUCUUCAUGGAACAUACGUGAUAUGGUUUAAGGUUAACUCAGAGAAAGAGAUCAUAUGAACCUCAUGGAACUUCCCAGCAAGUGGGCUCAACCCCACUGAAAUCAGUACCUUGAGAAAAGGCUGCAUUAGCACCUGUAAAUAUGCUCUGGCUUUAGGCUGAAUUCUCCUUUCCAGAGAAGCAAUGGCAGAUGAAAGUAAUAUCUCAUCUAUGUAACUUGUAGGCACUUCACACAGAAUACCUCUGUUUCUGUUGACCACAGAGCGCCAAGUCAGUGAAGCACUGUUCUUGGUGCUGGUUCCUGCCCACGAAAGCCACGGACCCAGAGGUUAAUCUGAAGGGCUUCCCUAGGUCGGGGUUCUUCAGUGGCCACCUGUGCGCUCCACACAUUACUUGGGUAAGGAAGAAGAAAACACUAUGAAGGUGGAUUUGCUGCCCAGAGAACCUUCUUUUGUUUGUGUUCCCAGUGCCACCUGAACACAGUAAAACUUUCGGCUGUGCACCAUAAAAUUUGGGGCAAAAGCAGUAGAAAAGACACAGGGCAUUUUGGGGAGUAGUUAAAUAGAUGAUGAGAGCCAUCCUGUUUGAAACUCAACCAAAUUGAAUGUCAUCAAACUUCUUUUGGUCUCCUAAGUCCAAAAUGAAAUUUCUUCAACCACAUAGAUGGUCAGAUUAGCCAUGGAGGGGUUAGAUACUGUUUAGAUAGAUAGGCUCAAUUGUUGGGACACAGAUGUGAGCCUGUUCCACCUUGUCUGAAGGCCAGAGAGUCUGAGCUUAAUUUUUGCUCUUUCAAAGUUGUUAACAGGUGUAGCCUGACCUAGGGUGUGGUUACUUGGUGUUUUGGACAUUAAGAUGACCGUUAGAGGUGGAUCUGCUCCAUCCUGACCAAAGGUCAGAGAAUUCAAGCAUACUCCUGUAGUCCUUCAUUUAAAAUAGGAGGGUUGGCAUAGGGAGUGACUGCCUACAGGAUACUUGGUCUAGGGUGUGUUCAUUGCUACAAGCAUCAAAUGCUUUACUCAGGAAAUAGUGACUUGAUGUCUCAAGUAUUGAAGCAAGUAACUGUUCUGGUUGUCCUUUGUGUCAUGUUAAAGCAGUCUUUUUCUUUCUUUCCCCCUUUUCUAUUGAGUUAUAAAAGCGUAUGAAAAAUAAACACGG